RNAcentral lists this non-coding RNA (261 nucleotides) under Hydrogenophaga sp. Lineage: Bacteria; Pseudomonadati; Pseudomonadota; Betaproteobacteria; Burkholderiales; Comamonadaceae. The record is from RNAcentral.
AUUAGAAUGCCGCCUGUUGGUGCUCGCGGUGUGGUUCACAUGCCGCAGUUCAACGGGAAGCAGGAGGGAGAGUCCACAAGGACGAACCUAACCUGCGCUGCCCCCGCAACGGUAAGCAGACGAGAGACCUGACGCAGAUCAGGCCACUCCGCUUUCAUCACGCAGCCACUGGAGAGCAUGCCCCAACGGGACGUUGCCAUCUGGGAAGGCGAUGAAGGUUGUUCUGUCAGCCCGGAUACCGGCCAACAAGGUGGUGGUGUG